CACGUAGGGGGCAAGCGUUGUCCGGAUUUAUUGGGCGUAAAGAGCUCGUAGGCGGUUCGGUAAGUCGGGUGUGAAACCUCCAGGCUCAACCUGGAGACGCCACCCGAUACUGCUGUGACUAGAGUCCGGUAGGGGAGCGUGGAAUUCCUGGUGUAGCGGUGAAAUGCGCAGAUAUCAGGAAGAACACCCGUGGCGAAGGCGGUUCUCUGGGACGGUACUGACGCUGAGACGCGAAAGCGUGGGGAGCGAACAGG
RNAcentral lists this ribosomal RNA (254 nucleotides) under uncultured bacterium. RNAcentral's name for it is "partial 16S ribosomal RNA". It matches the Rfam family "Bacterial small subunit ribosomal RNA", at positions 524 to 776 of the family's 1533-position model. The record is from RNAcentral.